This 250-nucleotide ribosomal RNA is filed under the name Nicrophorus concolor. RNAcentral's name for it is "partial 16S ribosomal RNA". Lineage: Eukaryota; Metazoa; Arthropoda; Insecta; Coleoptera; Silphidae. The record is from RNAcentral.
AUAUAAUUUGAAUUAGAAUUUUAUUUUUAAGUAAGAAAGCUUAAAUUGAUUUAAAAGACGAGAAGACCCUAUAGAGUUUUAUAUUUAUUAUUAUAUGAAUAAUUAAGUAUUUUAAAAGUUUCUAUUAUAAUAAGUAUUUUGUUGGGGUGACAGAAAAAUUAAAUUAACUUUUUUUAUUUAUUAACAUUAAUUUAUGAGUGUUUGAUCCAUUAAUAAUGAUUAAAAGAUUAAAUUACCUUAGGGAUAACAG